RNAcentral lists this ribosomal RNA (246 nucleotides) under uncultured bacterium. RNAcentral's name for it is "partial 16S ribosomal RNA". It matches the Rfam family "Bacterial small subunit ribosomal RNA", at positions 524 to 768 of the family's 1533-position model. The record is from RNAcentral.
UACGAAGGGGGCUAGCGUUGCUCGGAAUUACUGGGCGUAAAGCGCACGUAGGCGGCUUUCUAAGUCGGAGGUGAGAUCCUGGAGCUCAACUCCAGAACUGCCUUCGAUACUGGAGAGCUCGAGUCCGGGAGAGGUGGAGGUGGAACUGCGAGUGUAGAGGUGAAAUUCGUAGAUAUUGCAAGAACACCAGUGGCGAAGGCGGCUCACUGGCCCGGUACUGACGCUGAGGUGCGAAAGCGUGGGGAG